GGUCCCCAGGUGUCCACAUGAAUCAGUUGAAAAGGUCUAGAAGUCUUAAUGGAACUAUCAAGGAAUGGAAGUCUAGUCUGUCUGGCCAUGGGACAGACAGUACAGGGGAAGGUUUGUUUGGAAGCAAAUGGAAAAGACAGACCAGAAAUGCAUUUCAUAUUUGCAAAGGGAGUAUGUGCAAGUCUUAAGUGCCAAAUGUAAUUCAUAUCAGAUGCAAAAUCAUUAUUACAAAUGGAACUAUUUACAUGUGAAGGCACAGAAACAUCCUUGUUAUCAGACAAGAUGUCAUCAUUACAAGAAACAGACACAGAAGGCAAUGCAACAACAUUGUUAUUAUUACAAGAAGCAGAUACUCAUCAUUACAAGAAACAGACACAGAAGGCAAUGCAACAACAUUGUUAUUAUUACAAGAAGCAUAUACAGGACAAACAAAAGUAGAGGAACAAUUAACAGAGGAAGAAGGGGAAGAGGGAACCCAAUUUAGUUUAUGCAGCCCAGUAGCUUCUCUACCAAGAUCCAGUGGCCUCCUCAGAGAAGGGUCC
Molecule: long non-coding RNA, 542 nt
Filed under: Nicotiana benthamiana
Lineage: Eukaryota; Viridiplantae; Streptophyta; Magnoliopsida; Solanales; Solanaceae
Description: long non-coding RNA (NBEN_LNC006634)
Source: RNAcentral